RNAcentral lists this ribosomal RNA (1372 nucleotides) under uncultured bacterium. RNAcentral's name for it is "bacterial SSU rRNA". It matches the Rfam family "Bacterial small subunit ribosomal RNA", at positions 28 to 1381 of the family's 1533-position model. The record is from RNAcentral.
GAUGAACGCUGGCGGCGUGCCUAAUACAUGCAAGUCGAGCGAACGGACGAGAAGCUUGCUUCUCUGAUGUUAGCGGCGGACGGGUGAGUAACACGUGGAUAACCUACCUAUAAGACUGGGAUAACUUCGGGAAACCGGAGCUAAUACCGGAUAAUAUUUUGAACCGCAUGGUUCAAAAGUGAAAGACGGUCUUGCUGUCACUUAUAGAUGGAUCCGCGCUGCAUUAGCUAGUUGGUAAGGUAACGGCUUACCAAGGCAACGAUGCAUAGCCGACCUGAGAGGGUGAUCGGCCACACUGGAACUGAGACACGGUCCAGACUCCUACGGGAGGCAGCAGUAGGGAAUCUUCCGCAAUGGGCGAAAGCCUGACGGAGCAACGCCGCGUGAGUGAUGAAGGUCUUCGGAUCGUAAAACUCUGUUAUUAGGGAAGAACAUAUGUGUAGGUAACUGUGCACAUCUUGACGGUACCUAAUCAGAAAGCCACGGCUAACUACGUGCCAGCAGCCGCGGUAAUACGUAGGUGGCAAGCGUUAUCCGGAAUUAUUGGGCGUAAAGCGCGCGUAGGCGGUUUUUUAAGUCUGAUGUGAAAGCCCACGGCUCGACCGUGGAGGGUCAUUGGAAACUGGAAAACUUGAGUGCAGAAGAGGAAAGUGGAAUUCCAUGUGUAGCGGUGAAAUGCUCAGAGAUAUGGAGGAACACCAGUGGCGAAGGCGACUUUCUGGUCUGUAACUGACGCUGAUGUGCGAAAGCGUGGGGAUCAAACAGGAUUAGAUACCCUGGUAGUCCACGCCGUAAACGAUGAGUGCUAAGUGUUAGGGGGUUUCCGCCCCUUAGUGCUGCAGCUAACGCAUUAAGCACUCCGCCUGGGGAGUACGACCGCAAGGUUGAAACUCAAAGGAAUUGACGGGGACCCGCACAAGCGGUGGAGCAUGUGGUUUAAUUCGAAGCAACGCGAAGAACCUUACCAAAUCUUGACAUCCUUUGACAACUCUAGAGAUAGAGCCUUCCCCUUCGGGGGACAAAGUGACAGGUGGUGCAUGGUUGUCGUCAGCUCGUGUCGUGAGAUGUUGGGUUAAGUCCCGCAACGAGCGCAACCCUUAAGCUUAGUUGCCAUCAUUAAGUUGGGCACUCUAAGUUGACUGCCGGUGACAAACCGGAGGAAGGUGGGGAUGACGUCAAAUCAUCAUGCCCCUUAUGAUUUGGGCUACACACGUGCUACAAUGGACAAUACAAAGGGCAGCGAAACCGCGAGGUCAAGCAAAUCCCAUAAAGUUGUUCUCAGUUCGGAUUGUAGUCUGCAACUCGACUACAUGAAGCUGGAAUCGCUAGUAAUCGUAGAUCAGCAUGCUACGGUGAAUACGUUCCCGGGUCU